RNAcentral lists this ribosomal RNA (451 nucleotides) under uncultured bacterium. RNAcentral's name for it is "bacterial SSU rRNA". It matches the Rfam family "Bacterial small subunit ribosomal RNA", at positions 354 to 796 of the family's 1533-position model. The record is from RNAcentral.
GUAGGGAAUUUUGCGCAAUGGACGAAAGUCUGACGCAGCAACGCCGCGUGAGUGAUGACGGUCUUCGGAUUGUAAAGCUCUGUUGAGUGGAAAGAAAAGUUCCGUUUUUAACAAAAACGGGGCCUGACGGUACCGCUCGAGGAAGCCCCGGCUAACUACGUGCCAGCAGCCGCGGUAAUACGUAGGGGGCAAGCGUUGUUCGGAAUUACUGGGCGUAAAGGGAGCGUAGGCGGAAUCGUAAGUUAGAAGUUUAAUUCACAGGCUUAACCUGUGGCUUGCUUUUAAUACUGCGGUUCUUGAGUAUGGAAGAGGGAGAUGGAAUUCCAGGUGUAGCGGUGGAAUGCGUAGAUAUCUGGAAGAACACCAGCAGCGAAGGCGGUCUCCUGGUCCUCUACUGACGCUGAGGCUCGAAAGUUAGGGGAGCAAACAGGAUUAGAAACCCGUGUAGUCC